UGGGGAAUAUUGGACAAUGGGCGAAAGCCUGAUCCAGCCAUGCCGCGUGUGUGAAGAAGGUCUUCGGAUUGUAAAGCACUUUAAGUUGGGAGGAAGGGCAUUAACCUAAUACGUUAGUGUUUUGACGUUACCGACAGAAUAAGCACCGGCUAACUCUGUGCCAGCAGCCGCGGUAAUACAGAGGGUGCAAGCGUUAAUCGGAAUUACUGGGCGUAAAGCGCGCGUAGGUGGUUUGUUAAGUUGGAUGUGAAAUCCCCGGGCUCAACCUGGGAACUGCAUUCAAAACUGACUGACUAGAGUAUGGUAGAGGGUGGUGGAAUUUCCUGUGUAGCGGUGAAAUGCGUAGAUAUAGGAAGGAACACAGUGGCGAAGGCGACCACCUGGACUAAUACUGACACUGAGGUGCGAAAGCGUGGGGAGCAAACA
Molecule: ribosomal RNA, 426 nt
Filed under: uncultured bacterium
Lineage: Bacteria
Description: partial 16S ribosomal RNA
Rfam family: Bacterial small subunit ribosomal RNA
Source: RNAcentral